This 253-nucleotide ribosomal RNA is filed under the name uncultured bacterium. RNAcentral describes it as "partial 16S ribosomal RNA". It matches the Rfam family "Bacterial small subunit ribosomal RNA", at positions 524 to 776 of the family's 1533-position model. The record is from RNAcentral.
GACGAACCGUGCGAACGUUGUUCGGAAUCACUGGGCUUAAAGGGCGCGUAGGCGGGCGACCAAGUCAGGGGUGAAAUCCCGCAGCUCAACUGCGGAAGUGCCUUUGAUACUGGUUGUCUCGAGGGAGGUAGGGGCAUGCGGAACUUCCGGUGAAGCGGUGAAAUGCGUAGAUAUCGGAAGGAACGCCGAUGGCGAAAGCAGCGUGCUGGACCUCUUUUAACGCUGAGGCGCGAAAGCCAGGGGAGCAAACGGG